This is a non-coding RNA of Procambarus clarkii (red swamp crayfish), 291 nucleotides long. The record is from RefSeq and is a predicted model, not a curated record. Lineage: Eukaryota; Metazoa; Arthropoda; Malacostraca; Decapoda; Cambaridae.
GCAGGACGGACUGGGAAGCGGUCACCUAUCAAGAUACGGAGGCUAUUAACACCUAGGAAGUUAAGGCGUACACACACACACACACACACACGUGAGAGCCCUCACUCACCUGAUAGGGUGUUAGGCCCGCAUACGUCUCUAGGGUGAGGGAGACCCUACAGGACUCUGUGAGAAAGGCCACUAGGCUGGGGUCGCGGGCCUCGACAGCGUAGUGGAGGGCAGUUCGUCCACUCUUGCCUUCCUGAAAGAUGCCAACACAACCCAGGUCAGUAUGACGAAAUAUUUAGUAGA